UACGAAGGGGGCGAGCGUUGUUCGGAUUUACUGGGCGUAAAGGGCGCGUAGGCGGCCUGUUAAGUCGAACGUGAAAUCCCCGGGCUCAACCCGGGAACUGCGUCCGAUACUGGCAGGCUUGAAUCCGGGAGAGGGAUGCGGAAUUCCAGGUGUAGCGGUGAAAUGCGUAGAUAUCUGGAGGAACACCGGUGGCGAAGGCGGCAUCCUGGACCGGCAUUGACGCUGAGGCGCGAAAGCCAGGGGAGCAAACGGG
Molecule: ribosomal RNA, 253 nt
Filed under: uncultured bacterium
Lineage: Bacteria
Description: partial 16S ribosomal RNA
Rfam family: Bacterial small subunit ribosomal RNA
Source: RNAcentral